RNAcentral lists this ribosomal RNA (466 nucleotides) under uncultured bacterium. Its description in RNAcentral is "partial 16S ribosomal RNA". It matches the Rfam family "Bacterial small subunit ribosomal RNA", at positions 28 to 507 of the family's 1533-position model. The record is from RNAcentral.
GAUGAACGCUGGCGGCGCGCUCAACACAUGCAAGUCGAACGAUGAAGCCCAGCUUGCUGGGUGGAUUAGUGGCGAACGGGUGAGUAACACGUGAGUAACCUGCCCUUAGCUCUGGGAUAAGCCUGGGAAACUGGGUCUAAUACCGGAUAGGAGCGUCCACCGCAUGGUGGGUGUUGGAAAGAUUUAUCGGUUUUGGAUGGACUCGCGGCCUAUCAGCUUGUUGGUGAGGUAAUGGCUCACCAAGGCGACGACGGGUAGCCGGCCUGAGAGGGUGACCGGCCACACUGGGACUGAGACACGGCCCAGACUCCUACGGGAGGCAGCAGUGGGGAAUAUUGCACAAUGGGCGCAAGCCUGAUGCAGCGACGCCGCGUGAGGGAUGACGGCCUUCGGGUUGUAAACCUCUUUCAGUAGGGAAGAAGCGAAAGUGACGGUACCUGCAGAAGAAGCACCGGCUAACUACGUG